UGAGGGAAUAUUGGGUCAAUGGGCGGAAGCCUGAACCAGCCAAGUAGCGUGAGGGAUGACUGCCCUAUGGGUUGUAAACCUCUUUUAUAAGGGAAUAAAAUACGGGACGUGUCCUGUUUUGCAUGUACCUUAUGAAUAAGGACCGGCUAAUUCCGUGCCAGCAGCCGCGGUAAUACGGAAGGUCCGGGCGUUAUCCGGAUUUAUUGGGUUUAAAGGGAGCGUAGGCCGGAGAUUAAGCGUGUUGUGAAAUGCCGCGGCUCAACCGUGGCACUGCAGCGCGAACUGGUUUUCUUGAGUGCGCGCGACGCAGGCGGAAUUCGUGGUGUAGCGGUGAAAUGCUUAGAUAUCACGAGGAACCCCGAUUGCGAAGGCAGCUUGCGGGAGCGCAACUGACGCUGAAGCUCGAAGGUGCGG
Molecule: ribosomal RNA, 414 nt
Filed under: uncultured Prevotella sp.
Lineage: Bacteria; Pseudomonadati; Bacteroidota; Bacteroidia; Bacteroidales; Prevotellaceae
Description: bacterial SSU rRNA
Rfam family: Bacterial small subunit ribosomal RNA
Source: RNAcentral